CCUACGGGCGGCAGCAGUGGGGAAUAUUGCGCAAUGGGCGAAAGCCUGACGCAGCGACGCCGCGUGAGGGAUGAAGGUCUUCGGAUCGUAAACCUCUGUCAGCAGGGAAGAACGGUCACUGUGCUAAUCAGCAGUGAAUUGACGGUACCUGCAAAGGAAGCACCGGCUAACUCCGUGCCAGCAGCCGCGGUAAUACGGAGGGUGCGAGCGUUACUCGGAAUUACUGGGCGUAAAGCGCUCGUAGGCGGUAUGUCAAGUCAAGUGUGAAAUCCCCGGGCUCAACGUGGGAACUGCCUUUGAAACUGGCAGACUGGAGUGUGUGAGAGGAUAGUGGAAUUCCAGGUGUAGGAGUGAAAUCCGUAGAUAUCUGGAGGAACAUCAGUGGCGAAGGCGACUAUCUGGCACAUAACUGACGCUGAGGAGCGAAAGCGUGGGUAGCAAACAGUAUUAGAGACCCGGGUAGUC
RNAcentral lists this ribosomal RNA (465 nucleotides) under uncultured bacterium. RNAcentral describes it as "partial 16S ribosomal RNA". It matches the Rfam family "Bacterial small subunit ribosomal RNA", at positions 338 to 795 of the family's 1533-position model. The record is from RNAcentral.